AAAUGGCCUUAGGUUAAAAUAAUCAAGAGUCAACCUUUUCUUGUUUUUUCUGCUUCUCAGACAAAUCAGUGUUUAGUUUAAUUUUUUAUGUUGCUUGAUUGAAAUUGAAAAAUGUUUAAUGAUGAGGUAUUUUCACUGGAAAAAUGGUUGAUUGUUGGCUUAAAAAGAAAGCUUAAACACUUGAUAACCUUGAUAAGGAAAGGGAAAACUAAUUUGGACAAUCGUUAUUUAUGAUUGAAGUUACCCUUUUAUUAUCUGGUUUGGUUUCUUGCAUUAUUUAUAAUCAUUAUUGGAUUUUCUGCUAAUUAUUGUAACAACAACUGCAAUCUAUCAUCAAAAACUGAUCAAUGAUUUUCUCAGUCAAUUGGAAACUCGUUUUUUAUUCAAUGUUAAAAUUUUAAUUAUAGAUGGUGACACUGUUAGGGUUAAAGCACAUGGACUUGAUGAGUAACUGUGUCAUUUUAUUGUCUAACCAAAGUUGAGUUGCAUAAAGUGAAUUGGAUUUAUUUAAUCAGUGUUAAAUCAGCUUUAAUAUUUUAAGAUUUAAACUAACUCUUAUAAACGUAUUAUCUUUAACAUCUUUGAUCGUUUUAAUUUGGUGGGGUUCUCUUAAUCUGAUUUGGAUCGAGUGUUGACAAGUUUUACUUUUCAUAUCUUUUUACUAUUGGAUCAACUAUUCAACUUGUCAUAUCAAUUGUCGUAACUGUUGCAAGAUCACAUGAAAAAAAAUGUUGGUGUGUUUUGGUGGAUGGAGGAAAAACACUUGCUUCAUUAAGAGGUGAAGGAAGUUAACAAUUAUUGACGGAAAAGAAAUUUAUUUCACGAAAACGUGAUUAUAAAGAUUUGGAUUAUCAUUGAGAUUCAGACUUUUGUGCCAUAAAUAAUUACAUGUCUCAAGACUUACCGAUAAGACCGGUAAUCAGCGUAAUCCCAUAAACUAAUGCCGUUGGAAUGAGAUCAUAAAGAUCAAAGGUGCUCAAGGAUGCUUCAAGAUCAUAAUCAUAUGAGAAGAUAUUGAAAGUUGAGUUUUCGAUGGAAUCUGGGUAAAUUUCAGCCAAUUGAUCAAACUCCAUGGAUGAAUUGUUCCUGGAAUUGAUUGAUCCGAUCAAAUUUGAUAUUAAUCAGAUUCAACGUCAAUUUUUAUCUCGUAUUCACUAAAGUGAUGGUGACUUCGUAACCACAACGAGUUAAUCUAUAUAACUAGAUUAAGAUAAUAAAUACGCGGGUGAAUGGUUUUGAACAUGAACAUACACAUCAUAAUAAAGGAAAGAUUAACACAGAUUUAUAUUAAUAAGGACGCAUCACAUGAACUUGGAUGUAACUUGUUGCGCUUUUGUUUCGACGAUAUUGACAAUUGAAAAGAUGAUGGCAAUGAUAUGGGAAAUGGAAACGAUGUUUAUAAUUAUUAUGGAUUAGCAUUGAUUCGUGCUCGGCUGAUGCAUUUGUUGACAAGAAAACGCAAAUAAUCAAAGGUUAAGACACAUUGGAUUGUACCAGAAAAACAUGGCAAUAUUAACUUAUCCAGUUGAUUUGUGGCAAAACAAUUGAUGGCGCUGAUGAUUAUGAUGAUCAAUUAAAUGUUGACUUUUUCAAUGUAAGUUGACAGUGAAAAAAGAUGUGGAUAAUUAUGAAACAAUCAAUCUAAACAUAUCCAUUGUUUUUCCUUUAAAACUCAGCUCCACUCAAAUAGGAACGAUAUCAACUACUAGGAAAAGCGAAACAUCUUGAAAGCAACUUUUCAACGUUCCUUUGUUGGUCUUAAAUAAUACCCUUUGGGCAUAAAACAAAUAUCAAUAAUAAUGAUGAUUAUGUAGAUAAUGAUGAUCUCUAAUGACGAUGAUUAUGGUGACGAUAAAACUUUAAUUUCUCCUUUUGUCACAAAAACAGGGAAACUUAAAAAUUUUCAACUCUUUUGAUUCUCUCUCAGCCUUAAACAAUCACGUUAUUCUCUGUCCUUAUCAGUUCUAUUCCUAUGAUACAACUGAACCUCAAGAGUUUUUAUUUUUAUUUUCACAUGUGAUAUUAUCAACUGAGCAUGGCUCAAUGUUGGCUCUUAUAACCACUUUUUGAUAGUUUGUUAACGUUUUUAAAGCACACACAAUUUGUUAAUGCUUUACUCAAUCCUUGAAUCUCAAUUCAACAACUAAACUUGAUAAGUUAAAUUGCUUUGUCUUUUAGAUUCCAAUUGCCUUUUGGCUAAAGUAUAAAUGCUAGCUAAACCAACAGAGUUUGAGGUUAGCUCGUAAUGAUUGAUAAUGAAUUGUCAUCAAAAAUGAGUUAAACCCUGCAAUUAGCUAAAUUUCAGACAAAUUAAGUUGUGUCCAUCAAUAACUGAAAUUAAGCUAAAAAUAAAAUAAUUGAUUGGUUAAUAUCAACUCACAACUCAUUAAUAUCAAUUGUUAAUUUGAUUGAAUGACUGGUCCAUAAUUGAUCACAGUUUGAACAGUUGAUUGAGAAGCCGAAAUUGUCAGCUGUUAAAAUGUCAUUUUUAAAUUUUCAUCUCAAAAUUGUGAUCUUUUAAAUUGUCCUUUUCCAAUUUGUCAUUUCACAAAAUUGUCAUUAGUCAGCUUAUUUGUUAUUUGAUAAAAUAACAGUUGGGCUACUUUUUGUUUUCAAUUUUCCCUUUGCUCCAGAAUCUAAACCAGAAGAAAUUCCAAACUCAUUGGAACAGACGAAAAACUGUAAAGUAAAUGUUUGAUAUCAAAUAAGAAAUUGUAUUUUCUAAUAUUAUCAUUAUUUUUUAUUACUUUUUUGACAGUUACUGAAUCUCUCAAGGGUCUUACAUGGUUAGGUAAAAAUGUUUUUGCCUCUAGAGUUGAUCACAAUCAUAAUAAAGUUUACACUGAGACAUAUUUUA
Molecule: non-coding RNA, 2857 nt
Organism: Tetranychus urticae (two-spotted spider mite)
Lineage: Eukaryota; Metazoa; Arthropoda; Arachnida; Trombidiformes; Tetranychidae
Source: RefSeq, a predicted model, not a curated record